GUUUUUAUAGUUGAAUACAACGUCGGCUUUUCAAGCCGGGGGUUUCGGUUAAAGUCCGGGUAAAAAUA
Molecule: transfer RNA, 68 nt
Filed under: Salamandrella keyserlingii (Siberian salamander)
Lineage: Eukaryota; Metazoa; Chordata; Amphibia; Caudata; Hynobiidae
Description: tRNA-Glu
Rfam family: tRNA
About the family: Transfer RNA (tRNA) molecules are approximately 80 nucleotides in length. Their secondary structure includes four short double-helical elements and three loops (D, anti-codon, and T loops).
Source: RNAcentral